CCCCCCACGUAGAAGUUGCGCUUGACACACCCACAUACCCACAGCUUGAUAUAAAACUGUUCAGGUGGUUUAGUCAUAGGAGACCUGAGUACACAGACAGAGAGAACUGUGUCUGUAUGGAGUCCACCCUCCCAAAAGCUCCAGGUGGGGCAGACACCGUCACCAUAGUAUGGCCGUCCGACCCACCUGGUCGUCUGCGUCCACUUAUUGAGGAAGCAGAGCUUGAAGAGAUUCCAGUGGGUCAGCCCUCAAGAACAAGAAAUGAAGAGAAGGUUUACUCAUUUGACAGCUCCCUGUCCUCUGAUGACAGUGAGGACGAGGGUAUCGGCAAGAAAAAGAAGAAAAAGAAAAUAAAGAAGAAGAAGAAGAAAAAAGAUUCCAGUUCUUCAUCAUCAUCCUCUUCAUCAUCAUCUUCCUCAUCAUCAUCUUCAUCCUCCUCAUCCUCGAGCAGCUCGUCAGACAGCGACAGUGAGGAUGACAAGAAGAAAAAAAAGAAAAAGGACAACAAGAAGAAGGAUCAUAAGGAAAUGGAAGAGUACGUCUGGGGCAGUGUUCUCAUCGAUGAGGCUGCUCCCCAUGACAAAAUAGAGAGUGUGUGCGGCGAAGGUCUGAAGAACUUGGAUAUCUACUCAUCGGAUGAAGAAAGUGACAAGAAAAAAGAGAAAAAAAAGAAGAAAGACAAAAAGAAGAAGGAUAAGAAAACAAAAGACAAGAAGGAGAAGAAAAAGAAGAAGAAGGAGUCUUCGUCCUCUGAAUCAUCUGACAGUGAGGAUGAGAAGAAGAAAAAGAAGAAAAAGGACAAGAAGAAGAAGAAGAAGAAGAAGAAGAAGGACUCCAGCUCCUCUUCCUCUUCAUCCUCCUCUGAAUCAUCUGACAGUGAGGAUGACAAGAAGAAGAAGAAAAAGAAAAAGGACAAGAAGAAGAAAAAGAAGAAGAAGGACUCCAGCUCCUCUUCCCCUUCAUCCUCCUCUGAAUCAUCUGACAGUGAAGAUGACAAGAAGAAGAAGAAAAAGGACAAGGACAAGAAGAAGAAAAAGAAGAAAGACAAGAAAAAGGAUGAAGAGAAGAAGAAGCCCAGCACUGUCAUUUAUCCUUCACCAGCUGCUGCAGAUUCAGGUUCUGAAGGAGAUAAGGAGACAGGAGCACAAGUUGAAAAGGUUAAAGAACUUAAAGCAGAAGUCAAAGAAAAACUGGCCGCUGCAUCUACUGCAGGGGCAGCAGAGGCUUUCCCUGAUCCUGUUGAGGAUGGCAACAUAAGUGAUGAUGAGGAAGAAGAAGGCGAGGCAAAGGACAAGAAGAAACAGUUGAAGAAGAAGAAGAAGAAAAAGGACUCGGGUGCAUCUUCAGACAGUGAUGAUGAGGAUGAAAAAGAGAAGAAGAAGAAAAAGAAGAAGGACAAGAAGAAGAAGAAGAAGAAGAAGGAGUCGUCCAGCUCCUCCUCAUCAGAUGACUCCUCCUCGGACAGUGAUGAAGAUGACAAGAAGAAGAAAAAGAAGAAGAAGAAAGACAAGAAGAAAAAGAAGAAGAAGAAAGACAAGAAGAAGAAGAAGAAAGAUAAGGUUGGUGCCUUGAUGUGUCUUCAGUGGAUUUCUGAUGUUUUCUGAUGAUCAGAAAAAUCAGAUCAGAGACUGCAAUCACAGGGUCAGCUUUGAAUCAGUGGGCAGAGUAGAGGGCUUCUGAUGAGGAGGUCAUGGGUUUGAUCCCAAGGCACAAGAUAACUAAUUCAUGUCCUGCUGCUCCUAUUGGCUGGUGUGUUAGGAGAGGCAUUGCAAAACAUUCAACUGUAAGUAUGUGGGUAAAUGGAAGGUAUUUUUAAGGCACUGUCAUAUUACCUUUUUUUCUUGAUAAUAUUUAUAUAUAUAUAAUAUAUUUUAACUUUAACAUAAAAACCUUUUCCACUUUGUUGUUGUGAUGAUCUUGUGUAAUUUGUAGGAUUCCACCUCCUCCUCAUCUGAUAGUGAAGAUGAGAAGAAGAAGAAAAAGAAGAAGAAGAAGAAGAAGAAGCCAAAGAAGAAGAAAGAUAAGGUUUGUGUCUCAAGGUUGUUGGUUCAAAUACAGUGGGGCUGUGGUUUUUUUAAUUUGUCUGAUUGUUUAUUAAUGACCAAUAUCUUUAUUGAACAGGAUCCCAGCUCCUCUUCUUCAUCUGACAGUGAAGAUGAGAAGAAGAAAAAGAAGAAGAAGAAGUCUAAGAAAAAGAAAGAUAAGGAUCCCAGCUCCCCUUCUUCAUCUGACAGUGAAGAUGAGAAGAAGAAGAAGAAGAAGUCUAAGAAAAAGAAAGAUAAGGAUCCCAGCUCCUCUUCUUUAUCUGACAGUGAAGAUGAGAAGAAGAAAAAGAAGAA
Cynoglossus semilaevis (tongue sole) is the source of this 2339-nucleotide RNA transcript. It is a transcript of the gene named protein FAM133, with no coding region annotated. The transcript is spliced from 18 exons. Lineage: Eukaryota; Metazoa; Chordata; Actinopteri; Pleuronectiformes; Cynoglossidae. The record is from RefSeq and is a predicted model, not a curated record.